This 414-nucleotide long non-coding RNA is filed under the name Mytilus galloprovincialis (Mediterranean mussel). The record is from RNAcentral. Lineage: Eukaryota; Metazoa; Mollusca; Bivalvia; Mytilida; Mytilidae.
AAAAAUGUUAUUUUUGGUAAUGGUAGAUUGACAAACAAACUAAAUUUUACACUUGAUGGUAAUGUUUUAGAAAUUGUCAAGAUAUUUCAUAUUUAGGCAUUAGUUUUUCCAAAACAGGUAGUUUUAAAAGUGCUAAAAAUCAACUCAUUAGUAAAGCUACCAAAGCUAUGUAUGAAGUUCUAAAAAAAGGCCGCUUACAUAACCUGACAGUUUAAUGUCAGUACGAAAUGUUUGAUAAAAUUGUAACGCCUAUAUUGCUAUAUGGUUGUGAAAUUUGGGGAUUUAGUAAUAUUGAUGCAAUUUAAAGAGUGCUUUUGAAGUUUUGUAAACUUUUGUUAAACUUGAAAAAACCAACCCUAAGCUUUGUAGUAUAUGGAGAGCUAGGCGCUUAUCCUAUGUCAGUAUAUGUGGAAC